AUUGAACGCUGGCGGCAUGCCUUACACAUGCAAGUCGAACGGCAGCACGGGGGCAACCCUGGUGGCGAGUGGCGAACGGGUGAGUAAUGCAUCGGAACGUGCCCAGUAGUGGGGGAUAACUAGUCGAAAGGUUAGCUAAUACCGCAUACGACCUAUGGGUGAAAGCGGGGGAUUCGCAAGAACCUCGCGCUAUCGGAGCGGCCGAUGUCUGAUUAGCUAGUUGGCGGGGAAAAGCCCACCAAGGCUUCGAUCAGUAGCUGGUCUGAGAGGACGACCAGCCACACUGGGACUGAGACACGGCCCAGACUCCUACGGGAGGCAGC
Molecule: ribosomal RNA, 323 nt
Filed under: uncultured bacterium
Lineage: Bacteria
Description: bacterial SSU rRNA
Rfam family: Bacterial small subunit ribosomal RNA
Source: RNAcentral